AUAACACUAUUUGUGAUGAGGGACUAGAUGGUAGCAGUGAGGGCAGUGCAUUGGAGAUUAAUUUUAAAGAUUAUGAUCAUGUGGGUACGAAUGAAGAUAUGGCAGUUGCUGAAGAUGAGGUACCUAAAGAGGAAGUGGUUGAAGAUAAAAGUAAGGAAAAAAGGAAUAAAAAGUGGUUGAAGAUAAAAUUAAGGAAAAAAGGAAGAAAAAGGCGAAGGGAAAAGGAAAGGUAAAUAUAAAGGGGAGUCUAAAGGUAAAAGGAAAGGGAAGGGUAAAGGGAAAGUUGGAAGACCACCUAAGAAAUCGAAGCAGUGUGAAGGAAGUGGUGAAGGAAAUGGUGAAGGAAGU
RNAcentral lists this long non-coding RNA (348 nucleotides) under Lathyrus oleraceus (garden pea). Its description in RNAcentral is "Pisum sativum (pea) long non-coding RNA (PSAT_LNC015115)". Lineage: Eukaryota; Viridiplantae; Streptophyta; Magnoliopsida; Fabales; Fabaceae. The record is from RNAcentral.